CAGCUUGGCACUGAACAUUGACCCUACAUGUGUAGGAUAGGUGGGAGGCUUUGAAGCACGUACGCCAGUAUGUGUGGAGCCGUCCUUGAAAUACCACCCUUGUAGUGUUGAUGUUCUAACGUCGACCCCUUAUCGGGGUUGCGGACAGUGCCUGGUGGGUAGUUUGACUGGGGCGGUCUCCUCCCAAAGAGUAACGGAGGAGCACGAAGGUGGGCUAAUCACGGUUGGACAUCGUGAGGUUAGUGCAAUGGCAUAAGCCCGCUUGACUGCGAGAAUGACAAUUCGAGCAGGUGCGAAAGCAGGUCAUAGUGAUCCGGUGGUUCUGAAUGGAAGGGCCAUC
This 340-nucleotide ribosomal RNA is filed under the name Acinetobacter baumannii. RNAcentral's name for it is "partial 23S ribosomal RNA". It matches the Rfam family "Bacterial large subunit ribosomal RNA", at positions 2107 to 2446 of the family's 2925-position model. Lineage: Bacteria; Pseudomonadati; Pseudomonadota; Gammaproteobacteria; Moraxellales; Moraxellaceae. The record is from RNAcentral.